CAAGUCGAACGGAUCCUUCGGGAUUAGUGGCAGACGGGUGAGUAACGCGUGGGAAGCUACCUUGUGGUAGGGAACAACAGUUGGAAACGACUGCUAAUACCCUAUGAGCCCUAUGGGGGAAAGAUUUAUCGCCAUGAGAUGUGCCCGCGUUAGAUUAGCUAGUUGGUAAGGUAAUGGCUUACCAAGGCGACGAUCUAUAGCUGGUCUGAGAGGAUGAUCAGCCACACUGGGACUGAGACACGGCCCAGACUCCUACGGGAGGCAGCAGUGGGGAAUAUUGGACAAUGGGGGCAACCCUGAUCCAGCCAUGCCGCGUGUGUGAUGACGGCCUUAGGGUUGUAAAGCACUUUCAGCAGUGAAGAUAAUGACAUUAACUGCAGAAGAAGCCCCGGCUAACUUCGUGCCAGCAGCCGCGGUAAUACGAAGGGGGCUAGCGUUGUUCGGAAUCACUGGGCGUAAAGCGUACGUAGGCGGGCUGAUAAGUUAGGGGUGAAAUCCCGGGGCUCAACCCCGGAACUGCCUUUGAUACUGUCAGUCUUGAGAUCGAGAGAGGUGAGUGGAACUCCGAGUGUAGAGGUGAAAUUCGUAGAUAUUCGGAAGAACACCAGUGGCGAAGGCGGCUCACUGGCUCGAUACUGACGCUGAGGUACGAAAGCGUGGGGAGCAAACAGGAUUAGAUACCCUGGUAGUCCACGCCGUAACGAUGAAUGCUAGUUGUCAGGUAGCUUGCUAUUUGGUGACGCAGCUAACGCAUUAAGCAUUCCGCCUG
RNAcentral lists this ribosomal RNA (769 nucleotides) under alpha proteobacterium 7PC-5. Its description in RNAcentral is "bacterial SSU rRNA". It matches the Rfam family "Bacterial small subunit ribosomal RNA", at positions 58 to 875 of the family's 1533-position model. The record is from RNAcentral. Lineage: Bacteria; Pseudomonadati; Pseudomonadota; Alphaproteobacteria.